UCUUUUUGUUUUGAGAUUGCGCGUACGAAGUGAACAUUGUUUAAACUUCCCUAUGUUCUUCAAAAACUAGAUAAUAUCUGUGUUAAUUGUUAUAAAGAUUGUGUUAAAACGUGACUGUGUAACACCAAAUGUGUUUGUUUUCUUAAGCGCAACUCUUUAAUUCAAAAUUAAUAACAUUAUUCCUAAGCUCUAUCAACUCAUCCAAAUAAGAUUCUAAUCAUUCCGGAUUCAUAAUCUGUCAAAAAUUAGUUCGAAUAGUACAAGAUUCAUUCAUAGUGCUGGAAAUAGAUCAUCGAGUGAAAAACGAAAGUUGGAGAUCCUUUCUGGAAUCUGUUGGUAAAAAAAAUAUUUCAUCGGGCCGCACGAACCAAGAGGCGUUAAAAGUUGAAUUUAAGCUCAGUACAGGACACAUUGGCCGACAUAUUACGCUGCAACCGAAAUCUAACCAUAUUGAGCUUUGAAAGCACAGAGGUGCAUGGAAGAUUUUCCGAUAUCAUACCCCAGUGCAGAAAUCUUCAAGAACUGAGAAUCAAGUUGAAUGAAGGAUACGAUGCUGCCCAAUAUGCGCCACUAGUGAACUUGCUCAAUUUGAAAACCAUUUUAAUUACUGGUUUACAUGAAAGCGGUGCGGAAUGGAAGUUUUUCAGCAACUUAAGAGUCUUCAACCGUUAGAACAAUGAAUCAAAGAUUAACUGACAUUGAUCGACCUAUAACGUUUGCCACUUUCAAUUCACUACUACAUAAGUUGAUGAUGAACUUAUGAAAAUAAAUUCACUUCAAUUGCUAGAUGCCGCUUAAUCUAAGUGCCUGAUAUCAACUUUAGUCAAAUGAAUAACUUGCAGUACAUGCAAAUCCAUUUCCUCGGAAACAUUGAUCCUAUAAACUCAAAUGUUAUUGAAAUUUGCUAAGCAUAUGCCAGAUGAAGGCAACAAUAUUAAGCGAUGCUUUGUCAAUUAUCCUAUGGAAGAAUGAAAAACGUCUAGAGAUUCAUCUGUUCAAUUGUGAAACACCCUUGAAUUAUCCUAAUACACUCUUAGAUGCUUUUGCAGCCAAAUAAGUAUGAUCGAAGAAUUGUAUAUAUUCGGUAUAUACCUACCACUCAGUUCAGAUCUAAACAAACUAGAGAACUUGGAAAUACACUAUAUAUACACUAUAAUUUUAAAUAUUUUGCGCAGCUAGCAAACUCAAGUGUUGAAAAACUUAUUGUUUUAAAUUCUACUCACUCAGUGCGAGACAACCCGACAGUAUUUUCUACGAUGAGAAGAAGUACAUUCCAUGGCCCUAUGAGAUGGCUCAAGCAACUUAACCUAAUGGAAACCGUUGACGUUACUAAAAUAACAGGGCUGAAAAGAUU
Molecule: long non-coding RNA, 1354 nt
Organism: Drosophila sechellia
Lineage: Eukaryota; Metazoa; Arthropoda; Insecta; Diptera; Drosophilidae
Exons: 3
Source: RefSeq, a predicted model, not a curated record